RNAcentral lists this ribosomal RNA (491 nucleotides) under uncultured bacterium. RNAcentral's name for it is "partial 16S ribosomal RNA". It matches the Rfam family "Bacterial small subunit ribosomal RNA", at positions 29 to 507 of the family's 1533-position model. The record is from RNAcentral.
GUGAACGCUGGCGGUAGGCCUAACACAUGCAAGUCGAACGGCAGCACAGUAAGAGCUUGCUCUUACGGGUGGCGAGUGGCGGACGGGUGAGGAAUACAUCGGAAUCUACUUUUUCGUGGGGGAUAACGUAGGGAAACUUACGCUAAUACCGCAUACGACCUACGGGUGAAAGCAGGGGAUCUUCGGACCUUGCGCGAUUGAAUGAGCCGAUGUCGGAUUAGCUAGUUGGCGGGGUAAAGGCCCACCAAGGCGACGAUCCGUAGCUGGUCUGAGAGGAUGAUCAGCCACACUGGAACUGAGACACGGUCCAGACUCCUACGGGAGGCAGCAGUGGGGAAUAUUGGACAAUGGGCGUAAGCCUGAUCCAGCCAUACCGCGUGGGUGAAGAAGGCCUUCGGGUUGUAAAGCCCUUUUGUUGGGAAAGAAAAGCAGCAGGUUAAUACCCCGCUGUUCUGACGGUACCCAAAGAAUAAGCACCGGCUAACUUCGUG